Molecule: ribosomal RNA, 392 nt
Filed under: uncultured bacterium
Lineage: Bacteria
Description: partial 16S ribosomal RNA
Rfam family: Bacterial small subunit ribosomal RNA
Source: RNAcentral
AUACGUAUGUCGCAAGCGUUAUCCGGAUUUAUUGGGCGUAAAGCGCGUCUAGGCGGCUUAGUAAGUCUGAUGUGAAAAUGCGGGGCUCAACCCCGUAUUGCGUUGGAAACUGCUAAACUAGAGUACUGGAGAGGUAGGCGGAACUACAAGUGUAGAGGUGAAAUUCGUAGAUAUUUGUAGGAAUGCCGAUGGGGAAGCCAGCCUACUGGACAGCUACUGACGCUAAAGCGCGAAAGCGUGGGUAGCAAACAGGAUUAGAUACCCUGGUAGUCCACGCCGUAAACGAUGAUUACUAGGUGUUGGGGGUCGAACCUCAGCGCCCAAGCUAACGCGAUAAGUAAUCCGCCUGGGGAGUACGUACGCAAGUAUGAAACUCAAAGGAAUUGACGGGG